RNAcentral lists this ribosomal RNA (496 nucleotides) under uncultured bacterium. RNAcentral's name for it is "partial 16S ribosomal RNA". It matches the Rfam family "Bacterial small subunit ribosomal RNA", at positions 28 to 506 of the family's 1533-position model. The record is from RNAcentral.
GAUGAACGCUGACGGCGUGCCUAAUACAUGCAAGUCGAGCGAACAGACGAGGAGCUUGCUCCUCUGACGUUAGCGGCGGACGGGUGAGUAACACGUGGAUAACCUACCUAUAAGACUGGGAUAACUUCGGGAAACCGGAGCUAAUACCGGAUAAUAUAUUGAACCGCAUGGUUCAAUAGUGAAAGACGGUUUUGCUGUCACUUAUAGAUGGAUCCGCGCCGCAUUAGCUAGUUGGUAAGGUAACGGCUUACCAAGGCAACGAUGCGUAGCCGACCUGAGAGGGUGAUCGGCCACACUGGAACUGAGACACGGUCCAGACUCCUACGGGAGGCAGCAGUAGGGAAUCUUCCGCAAUGGGCGAAAGCCUGACGGAGCAACGCCGCGUGAGUGAUGAAGGUCUUCGGAUCGUAAAACUCUGUUAUUAGGGAAGAACAAAUGUGUAAGUAACUAUGCACGUCUUGACGGUACCUAAUCAGAAAGCCACGGCUAACUACGU